This 481-nucleotide ribosomal RNA is filed under the name uncultured bacterium. RNAcentral describes it as "partial 16S ribosomal RNA". It matches the Rfam family "Bacterial small subunit ribosomal RNA", at positions 28 to 507 of the family's 1533-position model. The record is from RNAcentral.
GAUGAACGCUGGCGGCGUGCUUAACACAUGCAAGUCGAACGAAGCACUUUAUUUGAUUUCCUUCGGGACUGAUUAUUUUGUGACUGAGUGGCGGACGGGUGAGUAACGCGUGGGUAACCUGCCUUGUACAGGGGGAUAACAGUUGGAAACGGCUGCUAAUACCGCAUAAGCGCACGGCAUCGCAUGAUGCAGUGUGAAAAACUCCGGUGGUAUAAGAUGGACCCGCGUUGGAUUAGCUAGUUGGUGAGGUAACGGCCCACCAAGGCGACGAUCCAUAGCCGACCUGAGAGGGUGACCGGCCACACUGGGACUGAGACACGGCCCAAACUCCUACGGGAGGCAGCAGUGGGGAAUAUUGCAAAAUGGGCGAAAGCCUGAUGCAGCGACGCCGCGUGAGCGAAGAAGUAUUUCGGUAUGUAAAGCUCUAUCAGCAGGGAAGAUAAUGACGGUACCUGAAGAAGAAGCACCGGCUAAAUACGUG